GCCGGGCGUAGUGGUGCACGCCUGUAAUCCCAGCUACUGGAGAGGCGAGGCAGGAGAAUCACUUGAACCCAGGAGGCAGAGGUUGCAGUGAGCCGAGAUUGUGCCACUGCACUCCAGCCUGGGUGACAGAGUGAGACUCUGUCUCAA
Molecule: non-coding RNA, 147 nt
Filed under: Nomascus leucogenys (northern white-cheeked gibbon)
Lineage: Eukaryota; Metazoa; Chordata; Mammalia; Primates; Hylobatidae
Source: Rfam by way of RNAcentral